This is an RNA transcript of Globicephala melas (long-finned pilot whale), 3923 nucleotides long. RefSeq lists it as uncharacterized. The record is from RefSeq and is a predicted model, not a curated record. Lineage: Eukaryota; Metazoa; Chordata; Mammalia; Artiodactyla; Delphinidae.
CGCGCCGCGAGUGUUUCAGCCCGGCUCCCGGCUCGUUGUGCUUGCCUCACGCCGGCCCGAGUUGGCGGCAGCACUGGAGGCCCCGGGCCUCUGAGCACAAAGAGGGAGCCGGGGGCCAGACGGGAGCGCGGCGGCGGCAGCUGAGGCCCAGGCCAGGCCCCCUCCCCUCAGCCUCCCGCCUGCCCGUCUGCCCCGACCCCGCAGGCGGCGCCGCGCCCCUCCCCCAACCGCCAGACUAGCGCGGUGCGGGGACCGCGCGCGAAGACAUGGGGGAGAAGCUGGAGCUGAGGCUGGAGUCGCUCUUGGGGACCGAGCCCGCCGUCUACCCGUGGCCGCUGCCGGUCUACUUUUCUGAGUUUCUGGGAAGGCCUGGUUUCCCCAAAGGAACGAUUUCUGGUAGAAGUCUGAAGGUCUGACCCAAGAAAAACAAAUCCAGUACAGCCAAUGAAUUGAGGACAAGAAGGUUUCCAAUCAGUUGCUAUAUGGGCCGCGCGCGAAGACAUGGGGGAGAAGCUGGAGCUGAGGCUGGAGUCGCUCUUGGGGACCGAGCCCGCCGUCUGCCCGUGGCCGCUGCCGGUCUACGUGGAAAGACUAUCUCCCAGUUGAACAGCGGAUGCCUGGGACUCGUUUCACUGCUUUCAAAGUUCCUUUAAAAAAGAGUUUUGAAAAGAAUCUUGCUCCAGAAGAACGUUUCUCCCCCUUGGAUCUCUUAACAAAAUCCAAGGACAGAAUGAAGAACUUGGGCUGAUUAUUGACUUAACAAAUACUCGCCGCUAUUACAAGCCAGAGGACUUACCAGAAACUAUUCCUUAUUUAAAAAGUUGUACAAUUGGGCAUCAGGUGUCAGAUGACGACGCUAGUUUUAAAUUCCAGUGUGCUGUUAAUGGGUUUCUGAAAGAACAUAAAGAUAACGAGCUCACCCUGCCUGGGCACCGGCUCUGCAGACCCCUCAGCCCUGGCUAUGUAUCGGCCAGCCCUUCCCCGCAACGGGGCCCAGAGGCCAGAGCCUGCCCAGAGCUGAGUGGAGGAGGCACCCAGAGUUUGCCAGGCUGUGGCCCGCCACCUCCGUGGACCUCCCCAGCUUGUCCGCGAGCCCUGGAGACAGGAGCGCCUUCUCCAGGGCUGCUGAGCUGCCAGCAUCACCAUGAGCCAGGCGGUGAAGGUUUCUGAGCAGGGGAUGCAGAGCCCUGACGCGACUGGAUGCUGCACCCCACGAUGUCCCUUCCUGGCAGGUAGGUUCUUUCUUCACUUGUUUUUCGAAAUUUGGUAAAAGAACAUUUAAACCUUCGACUGUUCUUCAGGGUAUACAGAUGGUAGUGGCUUAGCCGGGAUUCGAAGCAAGCCUGUGUGAUUCCAGAGCUCGUGCUCUGGACUCUGGUGCCUCCUUAUCAUAUAUGCUUCAUGUGUUACUUUUAGCCCUAAGUGCCAUACCUGUAAUGAACACAUACACUGCCCUGUAGGAGGUGUUCUUUUGUUCAGCGCGUGAAUUGGUCAUCCACCACACUGGGUUCUAAUCUCAGAAGAUAGGUCAGGGACCACCAGUUGUCAGCAUAGCACCAUCCCACAUUUCUAAUUGAGGCUUGCAGCCUAGAUUUGUCCCUUUGGUCUAGUUUGAAGGAUCCAGGUAUGUAAGGCUUAUAUUCUAGAUAAAUCAGGGGCUCUCCUGAAAGGAAUUCAUCAAUGAAUUAUUCUGUAUGGAUUAGAAGCCAGUUUCUCUGGCCUUCCUGGAGUAUAUCCAGUAAGGCAUCUCAUUCAUGUCUAGAAAGCAAAUAUAUCAUUUAUUGCAACUUCAGCAUGGAGCGAUGUAUUGGUUUAAAAUAAAGUACGAUCAACACAAUUUGGUCAUUGUGAGCAUGCCGGCUGGGUCCACUCUUUACUACACAUAUGUAACUCUAGAGCUUCUUACGCCCCAUAGAGGAGACAUACUCUUGUGUGUCUAGGACAAGGGAAACAUGUGUUGUUAUUCAGGAGCUGGAAGCUACAGCAUGACAGGAAAGAACUGAAAAAUCCUGGUCUUGGUCUACACACCACUUUACCUUGUUCGAAUCUUGUUUCUUUGGCUUGCUUCAUUGGAGUGUCUUCUCUCUCCUGGGACUGACAUUGUGUGUUAUAUAUCAGGCAUGUAACAUGUAGAAGUUUCAGAACCCAGAAUCAUAUAGAUCAGUGAAAAUUUAUAUAUUUUUGUUUAAAAUCUAUUUAAAAUCGCACUGGGCAUAAUUCAUAUAUUCCAAAAGUAGUUUGACCCUCUGCUGAUGAGAUUCUUUUUAUGGUAUGUCAAAGCAAAUUUGGACUUCCAUCCCCAAUAAACUUUGAGGUUGGAGGACACAAAAGCUUUUGCUCAGACCUAAAUUCUGUCUGAAGAAAAAGGGUAACUAUUAUAAGCCCUUUCUAACCUCUCCAGGAGCAGAAAUGAUUUACAGCUAUGGCAUUGAGCCAUAAUUUCUUGAUCUCAUUUGAGAAGAGCUCAGUAAGAAACCGUGUCUUGAUUUUUGUUUGUUGGUUCCCUGUUUUCUUGUCUUGCUUACCAACAAUCCACUGUAAUCCAUGAGUGAGUAUGGCAGCAGGCUGAGUGUUCCCUGGAGCUCAUUAAGUGAACGUUUUUUCCUAAAAUGACUUUUGUCUCCUUGUUUUCAGGCCCUCUUCUUUCCUCUGUCCUUUACUAUAACCAGGGCUCAGCAAAAGCUGCCUGGCUUUGUGCAGACCCUACUUAGGGUAGUCUUUUCUUCAUUAUUUUAUUCAUGGCCCCUCCAUUUCAUUGUUUGCCUUCUCGAAAUGUGUUGAAAUCUUUGUGUGGUUGAUGACUUCCACAAUGUCUUGGCUUUUAUUGGUUGAUUAAUUUUGGUAUUUCUGCAGUUUUAUUUAAACAUGGUUUCAGGAGGACCAGAAAGUAAAUAUAUUUCCUAGUCUGCCAUCUUGAGCUGAAAAUCCCUGUGGAUUUUAGCAUCCAAUGUUCCCAUGGGUAAAAAACCCAACCUUGGCAUUAAUAGAUGUACACUCAAGAUUUCAGCUUUUCUUGAGCAAUCACUAAGGAUUUAAUAUGCGGUCACUUCUAAUGGGAAAAUAAUAACUAUCUCAUGGCGUUGAUUUGAGGAUUAACUUAGAUAAUGGACAAGAAAAUGCUUUGUAAGGUUUUAAAAUCUAUAAAAAAUGUUUUUGUUAUUAUUUGAUUUGUUGCUAUUUCACCUUUAGCUGACAGUUGUUUGUGACCUUGCUUAUGUGAGAAAAUGCCUUCUGGUUUAUUGUUUUGAAAGCCAGAUGAUAUUUUUCAAUAGCUCAAUGGAAAUGGCAUCAUUUGUGAAGUUGAAGGGUGAAGGCAUAAAUGUUUCUUGACAUUUGAAUCAACUAUUGGUCUUCUGGGGCUUGUCCUUAUUCUCCUGCAGUCUCUAAUCAACAUGGCAUCCAGAGAGAUCCUGUUAAAACAUAAGUCAGAUCAUGUCACUCAAGUCUCUUCAAUGGCUUCUUCACAGGAAAAGCAAAGUCCUCAAAGUGCCUCCACAGCCCUAGAAAUCUGGGCCUCUGUUUCCUCUCUGACUGUUUCCUUCUCCUCUCCACUUUGCUCCCUCUGUUUUCCACACACUGACAUCCUUUCUGCUCCUUGGAUACUCCAAGCCCACUCUUGCCUCAUUGCCUUUCCAUCUGACUAUUCCCUCUGCUUGUACUAUUCACUUCCCAGAUAUGCACCUUGCUCCCUCUCACAACCUUAGGUUCCCUCGUAAAUUUUAUCUUCCCCAGAAAGCCCUCAGUGAUCACUUAGUUUCCGAUCGCAGCCUCCUCCUACCAGCUAACAAUCUCCAUCCGCCUUCCCUGCUUGCUGUUUUUCUCCAGCACUUACCUGAUACACUAGUUAUUCUACCCAUUUAUUCAAUUUUUAUUUACGUAUUUACACUUAUGAUUUUAUAUUUGCUUCUUUACUUUUGUCUCUC